RNAcentral lists this ribosomal RNA (460 nucleotides) under uncultured bacterium. RNAcentral's name for it is "bacterial SSU rRNA". It matches the Rfam family "Bacterial small subunit ribosomal RNA", at positions 28 to 479 of the family's 1533-position model. The record is from RNAcentral.
GAUGAACGCUAGCGGCAGGCUUAAUACAUGCAAGUCGAGGGGUAGCAUGAUUGUAGCAAUACAAUUGAUGACGACCGGCAAACGGGUGCGGAACACGUACACAACCUUCCUACAAGUGGGGAAUAGCCCAGAGAAAUUUGGAUUAAUACCCCGUAACAUAGCGAUGUGGCAUCACAUUGCUAUUAUAGCUUCGGCGCUUGUUGAUGGGUGUGCGGCUGAUUAGAUAGUUGGCGGGGUAACGGCCCACCAAGUCUACGAUCAGUAGCUGAUGUGAGAGCAUGAUCAGCCACACGGGCACUGAGACACGGGCCCGACUCCUACGGGAGGCAGCAGUAAGGAAUAUUGGACAAUGGGCGCAAGCCUGAUCCAGCCAUGCCGCGUGCAGGAUGACGGUCCUAUGGAUUGUAAACUGCUUUUGUACAGGAAGAAACACCUCUACGUGUAGAGAGCUGAAGGUACC